AUGGUGCACGUCAACUUCUACCGCAACUAUGGUAAGACAUUCAAGAAACCAAGGCGUCCUUAUGAGAAGGAGCGUCUUGAUGCAGAACUGAAGCUGGUUGGUGAGUAUGGAUUGAGGUGCAAGCGUGAGCUCUGGAGGGUUCAGUAUGCAUUGAGCAGGAUCCGUAAUGCUGCAAGACACUUGCUCACACUGGAUGAGAAGAAUCCCCGCCGUAUCUUUGAGGGUGCGGCUCUUCUCCGUCGCAUGAACCGCUAUGGUCUCCUUGCUGAGGGCCAGGAUAAGCUUGAUUACGUCCUUGCCCUGACUGCUGAGAACUUCCUUGCAAGGCGCCUUCAGACUCUUGUCUUCAAGGCUGGCAUGGCAAAAUCCAUCCACCAUGCCCGUGUCUUGAUCAGGCAACGCCACAUCAGGGUUGGCAGGCAGAUCGUCAAUGUCCCGUCGUUCAUGGUGAGGGUUGAAUCUGAGAAGCACAUCGACUUCUCACUGACAAGUCCAUUCGGCGGAGGCCCUGCAGGCAGGGUGAAGAGAAAGAACCAGAAGAAGGCAAGUGGUGGCGGCGACGCCGGUGGUGAUGAGGAAGAGGAAUGA
Molecule: ribosomal RNA, 588 nt
Filed under: Triticum aestivum (bread wheat)
Lineage: Eukaryota; Viridiplantae; Streptophyta; Magnoliopsida; Poales; Poaceae
Description: partial small subunit ribosomal RNA
Source: RNAcentral